This is a small nucleolar RNA of Bombina bombina (fire-bellied toad), 131 nucleotides long. RefSeq annotates it as small nucleolar RNA SNORA65. The record is from RefSeq and is a predicted model, not a curated record. The transcript has a single exon. NCBI's taxonomy places the organism in Eukaryota, Metazoa, Chordata, Amphibia, Anura, Bombinatoridae.
CCCGCCACUGUGCCAGUCUGAUUCCCGUGACUUGGCUUAGUCCAGUGGUGUGCUUAUAACAAACCUCUUCUUAGGAAACAGAGCUUUUUCUUUAUGGUAAAAAGUCCUGUGCCGAAAGAUUGAGAACAGUU